Pogoniulus pusillus (Red-fronted tinkerbird) is the source of this 3671-nucleotide long non-coding RNA. RefSeq lists it as uncharacterized. The record is from RefSeq and is a predicted model, not a curated record. NCBI's taxonomy places the organism in Eukaryota, Metazoa, Chordata, Aves, Piciformes, Lybiidae. The transcript has 3 exons.
CUCCCAGCACCACCUUCCUGCUGCUCUUUGUUUUACCUUGUGGCCAUCAUUCUGCGAGGUGGACAAACCCAUUGCCAUCAAUCUGGUUUCUGUCACCUGCCUUAGUGAGUCAAAGAAGUAGUCUGCUUCGUUCUGACUGAUCACCUGGAAAAGAGGCCAAGUAAUGAAGGGAGGAAAGAGUGGAUUAGCAGAGCAUACAGACUAUCAAGUAUCAGGCUGAAUUUUCUUUCCCUGUCUGCAGUGAGAGAGCACAAUUACAGCAGAAAAGACAGAGGCAAGGGGAAAGAAGUAAAGAAAUGGGGGAAGGAAGGCUCAAAUGGUUUGUUUCACAUGGGGAUUUUUAUUGCAUCUUCCAAUGUUUUUUUCUCUCCAACCUGCUUACUGAAAUCAAGCUGAGGUUGCCUUACACUUAGCUAUCUACUUUGUCAAAUAUCAGCAUGUGCUGGGUUCCUCUUUACAGGAACAGCACAUCAGAUUUUCCCUGUCUUGGACUCAGUGCUGCUUCUGCCUUGAUCACAGCCUCAGGGAGAAGGGACCUCUCAGUGAGGCAGCCCAUCCAAGAAUCAGCUCAGGCAAGACAAGUUUCUGGGAAACUAGAGACCAGUCAGCCAGUGUUGGUCAGCCACUGCUCUCCCUAACAGUACUUGGCACUGUACCUGUGCAGCACAUCUCCUGGGCAAAGCCUGUGUGGAAAACGGCUGAAUCCAGCAGUACACAACAUGCAAUUUGCUAUCAUCCCAGCAGCUGCAAGAAAGCCUGCAUCUUCUCUGUUUUUAAUGCCAUCUCUACCACUGGUAGACUGAUAGAAACUCUGCUUCUCCAUCCAGCUUCUUAAAGUAAUUGUCAGGUGGCAUAAGCUCAAGUCCAGGUUGUAUCCCCUCAGACAGAAGCAGUAAUGCCCUGCUGUGUUGCUUGGUCUUAUAUAUGGAUGUUUAGGUGGUCUGGUAAAUGAGUGAGGGAGGAGAGGGAAGUCUGGCCACCCUGCUGUGGCUGAGAAGAGUUACCUUGUCUGCAAUCUUCACAAAGAGGCUGAAACCUUCCCAGGAGCUCAGCUGCAGCUUGGAAGCAAUGUUCUGACACAGAGACCGGAUUUUGGUGUUUGUUCCCACGUCAAAUGUCUGUGAGGUUAGAAGAUGUGUGUUACACAGAGGAGAGACACUCAGUGUCUUGAAGUGUGCUCCCACAUGAACACACCAUGGCUUGGAAAAAGGUCAGGGCUGGGAAGACAGGUUAGUUCUUACCUGUUCUGUUUCAUUGGGGAAGCAAAUCUUGUGCGAGAUCUUAGUGUUGUUCUGUAAGAUGGCCUCGACCUCCACGGGAUGAGGUGCCCACUUCCUGGAGCCACUCCUGGAAAGUGCCACCACCAUCAUAAGACAGGCUGUGUAGGACAUUUAAUCUUGAAGGAAUUUAACAACAGUAGUCCAUCCCAACAGCAGAUCCCAUCCAGCAGCUAGUGCUGUGUGAUGGGGUGGGCUCCGAUGGACCUUCACCCCAGUGCAAAUUCAGCCAGAAACUGAGUCUUACACGUGUAGAUAAAGUCUGUUCUGCUCUGCAAGGAGGCUGUGUGAAUAAUGCACCUUCCUAGUCUAGCACCACUGCCCCUUCUAUGCAUUCAGCAGCAUUUGUCCUUACUGAAGCGUGAAGAUAGUGGCCACAAGGAGAAAUUAGUUUCAUUUCAUUCUUGUGUCAGCAGAAAGAUGGAUUUAGAUGCAAGAGGUGUCAGACCAGGAGAAAAGUACCAGAAAAGUCUGGGGGAGCUGCUGGAAGCCUUACAUUUUAUAUAAGAGCUGGUAUAUAGUCAGUGAAUCAGCAGGCUCUUAAGCUAUCCAAUCCCAGUUCUUUGAACUUACACCUCGGAGCAGAGGUGUGUGUUAAAGCAGAAGAACUGGCCCUGAAGCCUGAGUCAUGCAAAAACCUUGAACCACUUGGAGUGGGGACAAGUCUAGCAUGUUACCUCCUGGGGCUGGCAUUGGUCUGCCCUCAGUGGCACAGAUCAGGAUCUCCAUCUUGUACACUGAAGCCUGUGGAUCAAACUCCUCCCUCAUACUGGGUCAGUCUCUCAGGAAGACAGCUCAAUCUGGCAUCUAGCUUCAGUUGUGUGGAUUUAAAACCUCUUUUUUUUUUUUAACAUUAAACAAAGUAGCAGUUCCAUUUGGAGGAGAAAAACCUGGCUGCAAGCAAGCUGAACAGCAUCUGCUUUGCUACUGGGCAGGCAUUUUGAGGCGGGUGGACCUGCCCUACUCAGCAUCUGCUCCUGGGCUUGCAGCACAGGGAGUGCAAGGAUGUGCAGCAGCCUGGCUGGAGGCAUGGGGCCACCUCUCACAGUAUCAUCAUCAUCAUCAGGGUUGGAAGAGCCCUCACAGAUCAUCAAGUCUCCUUGCAGCCUCAGCUAGGGAUUCAUUGCAAAGAGAAGGUCUGCUUUGACACUCAGUGUGGUGCUCACUUAUUCCCUGACCAGCAGCCUGAGGAUGAAGCUGUACAGCUGCUCAUGGAGGAAAAGAUGUACCCCUGGCCUCAUAUGGCCUCUGCUGCACUUACUGUAGAUGAAGACACACUAUUUUAAUCCCAUUCAUACUCCAGAGAUCAGAAGUGUUUGUGUCUGUGUGAGAGCAAGACAUGGUCCACAGCACAGCAGCCUGGGAAGGAUGAAAGAUUCUGGCUGUUCUAAUGAAAAUCUAUGGAAAUAGCCACCUUUCAAGCAUUGUUUUUUUCCACACCAGUGAUCCCUCUCACAACAGUGAAUGGCUCACAGGACUAAAUUAGUGGAGUACAUCAGGCAUGGCACUGGCACUAUGGUUACAGACUGUGUGGUAAACAGCCUGUGAGAUUUAGUGCACACAAGGAAAUUUACCAUUUAAUAGUUACACACAUGGUAGAAGUUCCACUAAGUUAAACUUCUGUGGAACAGCAAGAAAGUAAAGAGAAGCUCCUUAUCUAACUUUUGCAGUGAUAUAAUGCAGCUGGAAACAGAGGAGCUAUUUUGUUAAUAAUUAGUAUUGUUUUAAGCUUCUUUAUGCAAUUCCUGCCCUCUGGAAAGUAGGUCAAAUGAUCAUUUUAUGAGUGGGGAAGAAAACACCAGCCUGUUUCAGGGACACUUAUUUAUGACCUGUGUAACUAAUCUGUUCUACAAGGCAGCUGAGUGACCUAGUUAAUAUAACUACUCAAAAGUAUUCUCUGGUGGUAACAGAUCAACUGUGAACCAUGUGCUUAUGGGAGAGAAAUGCUGUCGCUGGGAAACCUCAACAGAAGCUGGCAGAACAGGCACUGACAGCAUGUAAGGACUCUACACUACCAUAUUUUCUUCACAGAGUGCCUGAGGACUAAGAGGGCUUCAGUACACCUUGCCCACCUCACACCCUAUUGCACAAAGAUGACCACUGGACGCUGGUGGGGGCAACCCAGCAGCUCAAGGGGGAUUGAGUAAGGGUCCUGCUCUGUGGCCUUUCACUGCCAGUCAGUGGUCCCGAAUGCUCUGCCAAGGUGAGUCCCGCAGCACUGCCUGGACAAAGGGGAAGGAAAGGUGUCACUCCAGCACUUGGACAGCUUUCCCUCUGCCCCUGCUCCCUCACUUGAGGGAUCUCAGUCGCCACCUGCACUUGAGCCCUGGCUCUGCAGAAGCAGAGUGUUUCCAUGUGGGCGAGUACCUGUUUCUGUUCUCAGUCAGUUGCUUC